CGUGUGGUUCUAUUUUGUUGGUUUCUAGGACCGCCGUAAUGAUUAAUAGGGACAGUCGGGGGCAUCAGUAUUCAAUUGUCAGAGGUGAAAUUCUUGGAUUUAUUGAAGACUAACUACUGCGAAAGCAUUUGCCAAGGAUGUUUUCAUUAAUCAGGAACGAAAGUUAGGGGAUCGAAGACGAUCAGAUACCGUCGUAGUCUUAACCAUAAACUAUGCCGACUAGGGAUCGGACGGUGUUAUUUCUUGACCCGUUCGGCACCUUACGAGAAAUCAAAGUGCUUGGGCUCCAGGGGGAGUAUGGUCGCAAGGCUGAAACUUAAGGAAAUUGACGGAAGGGCACCACCAGGGGUGGAGCCUGCGGCUUAAUUUGACUCAACACGGGGAAACUCACCAGGUCCAGACACAACGAGGAUUGACAGAUUGAGAGCUCUUUCUUGAUUUUGUGGGUGGUGGUGCAUGGCCGUUCUUAGUUGGUGGAGUGAUUUGUCUGCUUAAUUGCGAUAACGAACGAGACCUUAACCUGCUAACUAGUCCGUAUUACCUCGGUAGUACGCCGACUUCUUAGAGGGACUAUCGGCUCAAGCCGAUGGAAGUUUGAGGCAAUAACAGGUCUGUGAUGCCCUUAGAUGUUCUGGGCCGCACGCGCGUUACACUGACGGGGCCAGCGAGUUCUUCCUUGUCCGAAAGGUCCGGGUAAUCUUGUGAAACCCCGUCGUGC
Molecule: ribosomal RNA, 718 nt
Filed under: uncultured fungus
Lineage: Eukaryota; Fungi
Description: SSU rRNA
Rfam family: Eukaryotic small subunit ribosomal RNA
Source: RNAcentral